UACGUAGGCAGCGAGCGUUGUUCGGAGUUACUGGGCGUAAAGAGUGCGUAGGCGGUUUUCUAAGUUUGGUGUGAAAUCUCCCGGCUUAACUGGGAGGGUGCGCCGAAGACUGGAAGGCUUGAGUAUGGGAGAGGUGAGCGGAAUUCCUGGUGUAGCGGUGAAAUGCGUAGAUAUCAGGAGGAACACCUGCGGUGUAGACGGCUUACUGGACCAUAACUGACGCUGAGGCACGAAAGCGUGGGUAGCAAACAGG
This 253-nucleotide ribosomal RNA is filed under the name uncultured bacterium. RNAcentral's name for it is "partial 16S ribosomal RNA". It matches the Rfam family "Bacterial small subunit ribosomal RNA", at positions 524 to 776 of the family's 1533-position model. The record is from RNAcentral.